GGUAUGCUUAACACAUGCAAGUCGAACGAGAACGGCCCUUCGGGGCUAAGUACAGUGGCGGACGGGUGAGUAACGCGUAGGAAUCUGCCUUGUAGUGGGGGAUAACCCGAGGAAACUCGGGCUAAUACCGCAUAGUCUCUACGGAGUAAAGCGUUAUGUAGCGCUACAAGAUGAGCCUGCGUCUGAUUAGCUUGUUGGUGAGGUAAAUGCUCACCAAGGCAAUGAUCAGUAGCUGGUCUGAGAGGACGAUCAGCCACAUUGGGACUGAGACACGGCCCAGACUCCUACGGGAGGCAGCAGUGGGGAAUAUUGGACAAUGGGCGCGAGCCUGAUCCAGCAAUACCGCGUGUGUGAAGAAGGCCUUAGGGUUGUAAAGCACUUUCAGUAGGGAAGAUAAUGACGGUACCUACAGAAGAAGAACCGGCUAACUUCGUGCCAGCAGCCGCGGUAAUACGAAGGGUUUAAGCGAUAAUCGGAAUUAUUGGGCGUAAAGCGCGCGUAGGUGGUUAAUUAAGUGAGGUGUGAAAUCCCGGAGCUCAACUUCGGAACUGCAUUUCAUACUGGUUAACUAGAGUAUAGUAGAGGUUAGUGGAAUUCAUGGUGUAGCGGUGAAAUGCGUAGAUAUCAUGAGGAACACCAGUGGCGAAGGCGACUAACUGGACUAAUACUGACACUGAGGAGCGAAAGCGUGGGGAGCAAACAGGAUUAGAUACCCUGGUAGUCCACGCCGUAAACGAUGAGAACUAGCUGUUGGGCUGUAAAAAGCUUAGUAGCGAAGCUAACGCGUUAAGUUCUCCGCCUGGGGAGUACGGCCGCA
RNAcentral lists this ribosomal RNA (817 nucleotides) under uncultured Gammaproteobacteria bacterium. RNAcentral describes it as "bacterial SSU rRNA". It matches the Rfam family "Bacterial small subunit ribosomal RNA", at positions 41 to 890 of the family's 1533-position model. The record is from RNAcentral. Lineage: Bacteria; Pseudomonadati; Pseudomonadota; Gammaproteobacteria.